Molecule: ribosomal RNA, 425 nt
Filed under: uncultured bacterium
Lineage: Bacteria
Description: bacterial SSU rRNA
Rfam family: Bacterial small subunit ribosomal RNA
Source: RNAcentral
GUGGGGAAUAUUGGACAAUGGGCGCAAGCCUGAUCCAGCCAUGCCGCGUGAGUGAUGACGGCCUUAGGGUUGUAAAGCUCUUUCAGUGGGGACGAUAAUGACGGUACCCACAGAAGAAGCCCCGGCUAACUUCGUGCCAGCAGCCGCGGUAAUACGAAGGGGGCUAGCGUUGUUCGGAUUUACUGGGCGUAAAGCGCACGUAGGCGGAUCGUUAAGUCGGGGGUGAAAUCCUGGAGCUCAACUCCAGAACUGCCUUCGAUACUGGCGAUCUUGAGUCCGGAAGAGGUGAGUGGAACUCCUAGUGUAGAGGUGGAAUUCGUAGAUAUUAGGAAGAACACCAGUGGCGAAGGCGGCUCACUGGUCCGGUACUGACGCUGAGGUGCGAAAGCGUGGGGAGCAAACAGGAUUAGAUACCCCAGUAGUCC